Molecule: ribosomal RNA, 207 nt
Filed under: uncultured bacterium
Lineage: Bacteria
Description: partial 16S ribosomal RNA
Rfam family: Bacterial small subunit ribosomal RNA
Source: RNAcentral
CUCGUAGGUCGUUUGUUACGUCGGAUGUGAAAACCUGAGGCUCAACCUCAGGCCUGCAUUCGAUACGGGCAAACUAGAGUUUGGUAGGGGAGACUGGAAUUCCUGGUGUAGCGGUGGAAUGCGCAGAUAUCAGGAGGAACACCAAUGGCGAAGGCAGGUCUCUGGGCCAAUAUUGACACUGAGGAGCGAAAGUCUGGGGAGCGAACA